This 442-nucleotide ribosomal RNA is filed under the name Amphinomia sulphurea. Its description in RNAcentral is "eukaryotic LSU rRNA". Lineage: Eukaryota; Metazoa; Porifera; Demospongiae; Agelasida; Agelasidae. The record is from RNAcentral.
GUGAAAAGAACUUUGGAGAGAGAGUCAAAAAGACCGCGAAACCGUUAGGAGGGAAGCGAAUGCAGCCAAAGUGGUUCUCGUUCAGGCUCAGGAGUUGUUGGCAUGCAGUGCUGGGAUGUCAGACGCCGAAGGGUGCUGCAACUCGGAUACAGCUGUCGACUGCUUUGCAUUCCUGGUGAGAACCGGCCAACGGCAGUUACUCCUGGCUCAUGAGGGUUGGUGGGAAGGUAGCUUCUUGGUUUACCGAGAAGAACUUAUAGCCACCAGCCUGGUAGUCUGGGAGUGACUGAGGAGUGCUGUGACUUUUCACACCCGCAGUACAGGCUCCCUAGGGGCCGGGUCCCUUCUGUCUGUGUGGGCAACGCCACAGGGACUGCGUGCAGUGUCUGCGGACGGAUGUGUGCUCAGGUGGGAGGUCGGCCACGUCUUGUGCUGUAGUCGU